This is a non-coding RNA of Trichobilharzia regenti, 46 nucleotides long. NCBI's taxonomy places the organism in Eukaryota, Metazoa, Platyhelminthes, Trematoda, Strigeidida, Schistosomatidae. The record is from Rfam.
GCACUGAUGAAGAGUCCUAAACUAGGACGAAACGGCUGUCCAGUAC